GUGAGAACAACCGGAUAAUGUGUGGUUUGUUGAUUGCCUGAAUCGAAAAGAAUUGAGUGGUGUAAUAGGCACUCAAAUGAAUCAAAUAUUCGGAUACAAAAAAAUGAGCGAUAGGCGGCAGAGCAGCAACCAAUCGUCCGGC
Molecule: non-coding RNA, 142 nt
Organism: Caenorhabditis elegans
Lineage: Eukaryota; Metazoa; Nematoda; Chromadorea; Rhabditida; Rhabditidae
Source: Ensembl